This 465-nucleotide ribosomal RNA is filed under the name uncultured bacterium. RNAcentral describes it as "partial 16S ribosomal RNA". It matches the Rfam family "Bacterial small subunit ribosomal RNA", at positions 32 to 507 of the family's 1533-position model. The record is from RNAcentral.
AAUCAACGCUGGCGGCGUGCCUCAGACAUGCAAGUCGAACGAUUAAACUUCCCUUCGGGGAAGAUAUAAAGUGGCGCACGGGUGAGUAACACGUAGGUAAUGUACCUUUGGGUGGGGAAUAACUUAGGGAAACUUAAGCUAAUACCGCAUAAUGCAGCGGCUCCUUCGGGAGACAGUUGUUAAAGAUUUAUCGCCUAAAGAGCAGCCUGCGGCAGAUUAGCUAGUUGGUAAGGUAACGGCUUACCAAGGCUACGAUCUGUAUCCGACCUGAGAGGGUGGUCGGACACACUGACACUGAAUAACGGGUCAGACUCCUACGGGAGGCAGCAGUCGGGAAUUUUGGGCAAUGGGCGAAAGCCUGACCCAGCAACGCCGCGUGAAGGAUGAAGUCUUUCGGGAUGUAAACUUCGUAAGAAUAGGAAGAAUAAAGGACGGUACUAUUUGUAAGGUCCGGCUAACUACGUG